Molecule: transfer RNA, 81 nt
Filed under: Plutella xylostella (diamondback moth)
Lineage: Eukaryota; Metazoa; Arthropoda; Insecta; Lepidoptera; Plutellidae
Description: tRNA-Glu
Source: RNAcentral
GUGGUGGUAGGUCAGUCGGGUAAGCGCUCGCUUCUCAUGCCAGAGAUGCGGGUUCGAAUCCCGGCGCUGACAUGUACCAUA